Long non-coding RNA from Plutella xylostella (diamondback moth), 519 nucleotides. RefSeq lists it as uncharacterized. Lineage: Eukaryota; Metazoa; Arthropoda; Insecta; Lepidoptera; Plutellidae. The record is from RefSeq and is a predicted model, not a curated record.
AUUACAGUAAACAAGACUUUUACCUACUUGGAUAACAGCGCAAGCGUCCAAAUGACAACAGAUGGUACAGACAUCUGAAAAGAAAAAAGAGCUGCAGCAAUGGGAAACAUCACAUCCUGCGAGUCUACAGGCCAGAGUGUGAGUAAGGACACUCCAAAAAAGCCGUCAUACAUAGCUAACAACAUCAAACCCAUCACUGAAGAACCCACAUAUCCUACUGCGUGAGAGACUGCCAGUGAUACCAGGUCAGCUGUUUCUACACAACACUCAGUUCGGCUACAUUGUUGCUGGCACUGCACCAUUGAACAGCGAGGGAUGUUCAUCACUACCAAGUAACUUUUGCAACUUUCCUAUUUUUUCGGGAAUACCGCCGCUGCCCCCGGGCCAUGCCUCUAUAAUGAGAAGAUCACCUGGGUGAAGAUGACGAUGCAACAUCGACAUGUCGAAGUACCCAGCGAAUGUGACGACAAAACUACUAAAUGGAUUUUGAUCAACAGACAACCUGGAUAGGCAACUUUU